This 130-nucleotide small nucleolar RNA is filed under the name Fundulus heteroclitus (mummichog). RNAcentral's name for it is "Small Cajal body specific RNA 15 (ENSFHEG00000005950.1)". Lineage: Eukaryota; Metazoa; Chordata; Actinopteri; Cyprinodontiformes; Fundulidae. The record is from RNAcentral.
ACGGAGGUAAAGAAAGUGAAGCAAAUGAAGAUUGUUUCCUUCACUGAUACCCACCUCCAAAAUGAACUAGCAGAGAGAACGACCUUGGUUUGCAGUGAAAAGCCUUGGAUCGCUGCAUCUGCUUACAAAA